This 407-nucleotide ribosomal RNA is filed under the name uncultured bacterium. Its description in RNAcentral is "partial 16S ribosomal RNA". It matches the Rfam family "Bacterial small subunit ribosomal RNA", at positions 30 to 526 of the family's 1533-position model. The record is from RNAcentral.
AUUGAACGCUGGCGGCAGGCCUAACACAUGCAAGUCGAGCGGAGCGGCUGACGGACGAGUAAUGCAUAUGAAUCUACCUGGCAGUUGGGGAUACCUUCCUGCAACGGGCGCUAAUACCUCCUACUUUCAAUUGAGCGUAGGUGGGAUUCGCUAGUUGGUGGGGUAACUGCCUACCAAGCCGACGAUCCGUAACUGGUCUGAGAGGAUGAUCAGUCACACUGGAACUGAGACACGGUCCAGACUCCUACGGGAGGCAGCAGUGGGGAAUAUUGGACAAUGGGCGAAAGCCUGAUCCAGCCAUGCCGCGUGUGUGAAGAAGGUCUUCGGAUUGUAAAGCACUUUAAGUUGGGAGGCGUUACCAACAGAAUAAGCACCGGCUAACUCCGUGCCAGCAGCCGCGGUAAUUC